Molecule: ribosomal RNA, 253 nt
Filed under: uncultured bacterium
Lineage: Bacteria
Description: partial 16S ribosomal RNA
Rfam family: Bacterial small subunit ribosomal RNA
Source: RNAcentral
UACGUAGGGGGCAAGCGUUGUCCGGAUUUAUUGGGCGUAAAGAGCGUGUAGGCGGCCAGGUAGGUCUGCUGUGAAAACUCGAGGCUUAACCUCGAGAUGUCGGCGGAAACCAUCUGGCUAGAGUCCGGAAGAGGAGAGUGGAAUUCCUGGUGUAGCGGUGAAAUGCGCAGAUAUCAGGAAGAACACCCGUGGCGAAGGCGGCUCUCUGGGACGGUACUGACGCUGAGAUGCGAAAGCGUGGGGAGCGAACAGG